Molecule: long non-coding RNA, 3182 nt
Organism: Peromyscus californicus insignis
Lineage: Eukaryota; Metazoa; Chordata; Mammalia; Rodentia; Cricetidae
Exons: 3
Source: RefSeq, a predicted model, not a curated record
GUGGCCUGCUGCUCCUAAAUUAACUAAGGAUUGCAGAGUCUGUCUCCCUGGAGAGGAGCUGUGUCAUAUGAGUAUUGGGGCACCAUCAGUUCCUCUACCCAACUGUGCUCCGUGACCCCACACGGGGGGGAUUCUGGUCCGUGUGCAGGAUUAGAUGAAAGUACUGGAAUGCCUAGUAGAUAAAAUCAACUAUCUGGAUUCAAAGUCUCUGCCCAGAGCUGCUGGAGGUGGAAGAAUUUGGGACGUUGUCUGCUCAGGAUGAAAGCCUGGAGAAUAACUGCAGAAGAGAAGCUUUCUGAAGUUAUAAAUAAUCAAAUGCCCAUGGGGAGGAUGACUUCAUUUCUAACAAUACAGUAACAAUCACAGCUCAAAGGACACACAAAACUAAUGGAGUGUCUUCUCAGGAAGAGAUAGUUGUGGCUUAGUUUAUGGUAAUGUUUCUGGAUCCCCUCAUCCACUAGUAGCAAUCACAGAGGCGGGACAAUGGAGAGAAUUGGGGAAGUCUUGAACACAGCUUGGGCACAACACUGUGCUGAUAAAUGGAGAAAAAGCCAUGAAUUGUAGUGCUUAUUAGUUUUCCUGGUAUAAAUACUUAUUUCAAGGUUGCUGUCAUGUCACUUAUUAAACUUGGAUUUUGGAAGAGAUGCAUGGAGUUGAUACUUCCAGUAUAGCAUCAGCUGGCUUCCAUCACUGACUGGAGACACAGGAAGUCACUUCUCUGUUGCCUUCUUCCUGCUUGUGGUCUGAGAACAACAUAUUUGAAGCUCAGGUGGUGACCAUUCAGAGUGACGGUUCAAAUGUUCCCACUUUUACAACUAAAUUUAGGUUUCAGGUCUCUGAGAGAGGCAAACAGAUGUCUCUCCCAACAAAGGGCCAUUUAUCAACAAAUUACAUUCAGAGAUGAGGGAGUGAGCACAAACAGGUCCUGAGUCAGCCCCACAAUGUCUCAAGGACAGUUCUACAACCCCCUUGAAACUUACUCAAGUAUGUCCAAAGAUAAAAGCUCGGCCAAUUAAAAAUGUACUAAUGUAACUGCUGCUUGCUUAACCAAUCGUAUUUGAGAUGACCUAACUGUUCCUGAAAUUGCCCUAGCUGUGCUUAAAAGGGGCAUGCACACUCCUCUCAGGGUCGUUGCCAUUUUGUACAGUUGAACGACCCCACAUGCAUGUUGGAAUAUUAAUAAACGCUCUUUGCUCUUGCAUACUGUUUGAGUCCGGGUCUUCCUUCAGUGUUUCCUCGGAUCCUACAAGGGGAAGAUAAUGGCAAAAGGAAGGGAGAUCUGGUGGUGAGGAAUAGUGGAACUCACUUAUUAAUUUCCUAGGGUAGUAGAGACAAACUACUACAAAAAUGGGUGUUUUAGAGCAGUAGACAUCUACUCCCUUAAAGUUCUGUCUUCCAGGGUCUGAAAUCAAGGUGGUGGCAGAGUUGGUUCCUUCUAGAAUCUCCUAAUAUCUGAUGAUUUCUAGGUAUCCUUGGCAUUCAUUAACUGAAAUACAUACCACCCCAAGUCUGCCUCCACCCCAUGUCACUUUCUCUGUGUGCCUGUCUGGAUCGUUUCCUCAUAUAAGGACACUAAUAUGUGGUUUAGGACCCAAGAUAAUUUCAUCCCCAGAACCUUACAUACCCUCUAAAUCUUAUUUCCUCACAUUCUGAGGUUUCAGAUGGACAUUCUUUAUGAGACAAGAUCUGUGACUGUACACACACACACACACACACACACACACACACACACACACACACACAGAGAGAGAGAGAGAGAGAGAGAGAGAGAGAGAGAGAGAGAGAGAGAGAGAGAGAGAGAGAACAGGAAUAGUUACAAAGAGCUGGGCCGGGCUAGAGCUGGCCACCUGGCUCUAAAACCUUCCUCGUGAUGUCCUGAACAUCACAGAGGCUGUGAUCUGUUUCUUGAUUAUGGCCACAGGUUCUCAGGGUCUGUGAUGUCUGUGUCACUUUCCUCCUUCAUCAGCCUCUUUGUCCCCAAACCUAGUGACUGAAGAGUGGAAUGAUCCUGGUUUAGGUUUCAGCUAAGGCCACAGCUGGGCAAUUCUUUCCUUCCAUCACUUUCUAACUUUUUGAAGAUAAUUUGAGUAAAAAUGGCCCCAACCGUAAAUCCUGAUCUUAUUUAGUUUCAUACACUCUACUGAGUAGAAUAAGCUCUUAAGAAAUACCAGAAGAAUAAAUGAAGACACAGUCUACUUCAGUUGAUUAGGGUGCUUAAGUAUUAGAAAAUACUUUUCCAAUCUGAAAAAUAUAUACUAGUACCUUGGGUCAGUGGAAAACAGUGGCUGAGAAUUAGUUGGUCAGUUGUCAAAGGAUUCUCCCACCAAUGAGCACUCCUUUGGAUCUAGAACAGGAGCUACUACUGUCCAUGGAAACUCACGAGGGUCUUCCCCAGGUUCUGGUGAGGCAGUCAGCUUGGCAGGCCUGAGAGGGCAUGGAGAGGUCCCUGCGACCCAGUGUCAACUUUAAACCAUGUCUUGUGGAUACCCUCAGUUCUAUGUAUGAAACUCAUGCUUCAAAGGAAAGGUCAAAUUCCAGAGAAUGAGUCUGAACUCUAUUUAUGUGACUUAGAGAAGUUCAUAUCCUGGGAAUCGCCAGGGCUUUGGGGAUCUGCUACACCACUGAGAUCUCUUUUUCUCUGCCAAAAUUCUAUCUUUCCACCAUCAACUCUAUUUGCUAAUAUUGCUCACAUUUAUGGGCAUUGCUUAGGAGUCCCUAACAGACCUUUCCUAUUACUGUGGCUUCUACCUCACUAUAUCCCACAGUGUUGAUUUUGCUUUUGGGUUUUGGAUAUGUGGUUAUUUGGCUGGGUGAGUCCUGUGAUCACAAGAAACAAUGAGCACAUAAAACAUACCUCCUUUUAGAGGUAAGCACUGAUGCAUAUUCCAGAGCAGAGAGAUUCAAAUCAGCCCUAUAAAUCUCCCCACCAUGCUAUAUAUUCCACAUAUAAUGACGAGGAAGAAAUUCCUUAUGAAAUAGCUCAUGAUUAAGAGGUUUGUUCUCAUAUUGCUGGAAACCACAGGGAGGGGGUAAAGCUGGCCACUGAUGUCAGUGCCUCUCCAUGGCAUUUGUACUGAGGGUUUAAUCAUUCAUUAUUCAUUGUAAGAGUCUAAUAUGUGUGCAGUAGGGGGAUAUUAAUGGGGUGCAACUUGGGGUAUGCAUAGGUUUUACCUAUGAAUAUA